This 424-nucleotide ribosomal RNA is filed under the name uncultured Glomeromycotina. RNAcentral describes it as "SSU rRNA". It matches the Rfam family "Eukaryotic small subunit ribosomal RNA", at positions 670 to 1092 of the family's 1831-position model. Lineage: Eukaryota; Fungi; Glomeromycota. The record is from RNAcentral.
AUGGUAUGUACUGGCUUUACUGAUUCCUCCUUCUUGAAGAACUGUAAUGUCAUUAAUUUGGUGUUGCAGGGAAACAGGACUGUUACUUUGAAAAAAUUAGAGUGUUUAAAGCAAGCUAACGCUUGAAUACAUUAGCAUGGAAUAAUGAAAUAGGACGUUCGAUCCUAUUUUGUUGGUUUCUAGGAUUGACGUAAUGAUUAAUAGGGAUAGUUGGGGGCAUUAGUAUUCAAUUGUCAGAGGUGAAAUUCUUGGAUUUAUUGAAGACUGACUACUGCGAAAGCAUUUGCCAAGGAUGUUUUCAUUAAUCAAGAACGAAAGUUAGGGGAUCGAAGACGAUCAGAUACCGUCGUAGUCUUAACCAUAAACUAUGCCGACUAGGGAUCGGAUGAUGUUAAUUUUUUAAUGACUCAUUCGGCGCCUUACG